This 66-nucleotide transfer RNA is filed under the name Paralichthys californicus (California flounder). RNAcentral describes it as "tRNA-Cys". Lineage: Eukaryota; Metazoa; Chordata; Actinopteri; Pleuronectiformes; Paralichthyidae. The record is from RNAcentral.
AGCCCUGGGGUGUCAGCACGUUAGAUUGCAAAUCUAAAGAAGUAGGCUAGUCGCCUACCGGGGCUU